Molecule: small RNA, 30 nt
Filed under: Bombyx mori (domestic silkworm)
Lineage: Eukaryota; Metazoa; Arthropoda; Insecta; Lepidoptera; Bombycidae
Description: piRNA piR-bmo-1830619
Source: RNAcentral
UACAUUACUGGCAAUUUUUGCACAAAGGGC